Molecule: ribosomal RNA, 253 nt
Filed under: uncultured bacterium
Lineage: Bacteria
Description: partial 16S ribosomal RNA
Rfam family: Bacterial small subunit ribosomal RNA
Source: RNAcentral
GACGAACCGUGCAAACGUUAUUCGGAAUCACUGGGCUUAAAGGGCGCGUAGGCGGGCCGCCAGGUCCGGGGUGAAAGCCUCCAGCUCAACUGGAGAAGUGCCUUGGAUACCGGCGGCCUCGAGGGAGGUAGGGGCGUGCGGAACUUCGGGUGGAGCGGUGAAAUGCGUUGAUAUGCAUAGGAACUCCGGUGGCGAAGGCGGCGUGCUGGACCUCUUCUGACGCUGAGGCGCGAAAGCCAGGGGAGCAAACGGG